Molecule: long non-coding RNA, 823 nt
Organism: Canis lupus familiaris (dog)
Lineage: Eukaryota; Metazoa; Chordata; Mammalia; Carnivora; Canidae
Exons: 3
Source: RefSeq, a predicted model, not a curated record
AGAAGGGCAGAGGGUGGCAUUUAUGCUGAAAAGGGGGGUCGGCCAGGGGAUACACUAUCUUUCCCCUAGAUGAGGUGUUUCUCGGAUGGAUGGAAAUGAGAAGUGUCUACGGCCCUCUACCAGGCUUCUUUUGGUGCCUCCCUGGAGAAAACAAUUUUCAGAACCCCAGAUGGAAGAGAGGUCCCUGCUGCAUGAGGCCAAGGCCCCAGGGUCUUAAGGAACCCAGGCUGAUACUUCCAAGCAAACCAAGGAAACCUGCCUCGGAUGAACUGCUGGUGUGCUCCUGGUGGUCUUUUGCUCGUGGAUCUUGACACAGCACACAACCUAUGGCCGAAGGAGAGAAGACUGCAAAUUAAAAGCAAGUAUUAUUAUUCUCAAGCUGUGUCUAAACCACAUAAGCAAAGAGCCAGAAUACAUCCAAGUGACGAUUUUUUAAAAUGCCAUUUAAAAAAGUGGCAGCUGCCAAAUCUUAUGAUUAAUGAACUCUGGAACCGCCUAAAUGAAAAGUACACCCAAAUAUAUUUUUUUAAGAUUUUAUUUAUUUAUUCACGAGAGACACAGAGAGAGAGAGAGAGGCAGAGAGAGACAUAGGCAGAGGGAGAAGCAGGCUCCAUGCAGGGAGCCUGAUGUGGGACUCGAUCCCAGGUCUCCAGGAUCACAACCUGAGCCGAAGGCAAUCGCUUAACCACUGAGCCACCCAGGUGUCCCAGUACACCCAAAUAUUGCAGAAGAAACAGCUCUCAGGCACCUGGGUGGCUCAGUUGGUUGAGCAUCUGACUUGGGCUUGAGUUGUGACCUCGGAGUCCAGGGAUCAAGUCCGGCA